UACGAACUGUGCAAACGUUAUUCGGAAUCACUGGGCUUACAGAGUGCGUAGGCGGCCUGUCAAGUAGGGUGUGAAAGCCCCCGGCUCAACCGGGGAAUUGCGCCCUAAACUGUCGGGCUGGAGUGAGAUAGGGGUGUGUGGAACUUCCGGUGGAGCGGUGAAAUGUGUUGAUAUCGGAAGGAACGCCGGUGGCGAAAGCGACACACUGGAUCUUGUCUGACGCUGAGGCACGAAAGCCAGGGGAGCGAACGGG
RNAcentral lists this ribosomal RNA (253 nucleotides) under uncultured bacterium. Its description in RNAcentral is "partial 16S ribosomal RNA". It matches the Rfam family "Bacterial small subunit ribosomal RNA", at positions 524 to 776 of the family's 1533-position model. The record is from RNAcentral.